CCCUAACAACACACAACAUUCCAGGAAUGUACUACCAAAGUUCUAUCAAUAUUUGAAUGUCCUGGACAUUUAGGGAACAUUCGGUGAACAUCUGUUUAAAUUAUUCCUGGAAUGUUACCAUAAGACAUUCUGUGAACAUACUACCAAUGUUCCUAUAUUUUAAGUUGCGAAAUAAUACAUACGUGUAAGAGAUACAACAUUACUUAUAACAUACCAGACAAACUAAGUGACAUUUUAGGCCUACAGUGCAAUAAUAUGUCAAAUUUAAAGAGUUUCCCAAGAUUAUAAACAUACAAAUGUAAUAAAAAUUAUUGUUCGCGAAUAUUCAAUUUGGAAUGCGAUUUUGUUAAUAAAAAAAAUACUUCUAACUUAUGCAAAACCCAAGAGAGGCAUUUAUAUUUAUUUCUUUUGCGUUCAUUUUCAAAUUCGCCGUGCAUAUAUUUUUGUGCAUGGCGCUUGAGAGGGCAUCACGUGACUAAAAACGACCAACCAACGACCUCGCUUCGGCCAUCUUGGCAUCUUCAUCUUGGCGACCUUGCCUUGCCGUGGAUUGUUUUUAGUUGUUUGUAUUAUUUGUGCUUUUUAAGAAUAUUUUUUUAAUUCGGAUACUUUUAUAAUAGCUUUAAUAGUAUUAUUAACAUAGUGCAUAAAAUGGUGUCCUGUUUUUAACGCAGUUGGAGUAGCAGAAACAAAUGUAGAUAAAAAAAUCUGCAGGAAUAACGUUUCAAUUAUGACAGAAGCUCAAAACAAAUGACUGUGAAUGAAAAGCCCUAUUAAAAGCUUUCCAGAAGAUCCUGCGAAGAAGACAUGAAGUAUAGAUCAGAUUUGUUAAUAGAGGAGUAUGUUCAAAACACUUUUUAGAAAAAGAUAUUGACAGAACUUCACUUUCAUCUGUUCGUUUGAGAGACUGUGCUGUUCCAAUAGCUUAUGUCACACAGAAUCAGCUGAGAGAAGUGGUCUACAAAAAACCAGAAAGGAAACGGAAUAUGUGGCUACGAAAAGCAAAAGAAAGGUUUACAAAGCAAAUGUGACACAUUUUUUUAUAAUAUUUAGGAAUGUCAGCAAAUUACAUUAAAAAAUGUAUGUAAAGAUUUUUUGCAAUAAAAAUGUUUAUAUUUA
Diabrotica virgifera virgifera (western corn rootworm) is the source of this 1119-nucleotide long non-coding RNA. RefSeq lists it as uncharacterized. The record is from RefSeq and is a predicted model, not a curated record. The transcript is spliced from 3 exons. Lineage: Eukaryota; Metazoa; Arthropoda; Insecta; Coleoptera; Chrysomelidae.